GUAGCUCAGUUGACAGAGUGCUUGCCUACCAUGCAGGAAGCACUGGGUUCAAUUCCCAGC
Molecule: transfer RNA, 60 nt
Filed under: Mesocricetus auratus (golden hamster)
Lineage: Eukaryota; Metazoa; Chordata; Mammalia; Rodentia; Cricetidae
Rfam family: tRNA
About the family: Transfer RNA (tRNA) molecules are approximately 80 nucleotides in length. Their secondary structure includes four short double-helical elements and three loops (D, anti-codon, and T loops). Further hydrogen bonds mediate the characteristic L-shaped molecular structure. tRNAs have two regions of fundamental functional importance: the anti-codon, which is responsible for specific mRNA codon recognition, and the 3' end, to which the tRNAs corresponding amino acid is attached (by aminoacyl-tRNA synthetases). tRNAs cope with the degeneracy of the genetic code in two manners: having more than one tRNA (with a specific anti-codon) for a particular amino acid; and 'wobble' base-pairing, i.e. permitting non-standard base-pairing at the 3rd anti-codon position.
Source: Rfam by way of RNAcentral